Molecule: ribosomal RNA, 976 nt
Filed under: human gut metagenome
Description: bacterial LSU rRNA
Rfam family: Bacterial large subunit ribosomal RNA
Source: RNAcentral
AGGUAGCGAAAUUCCUUGUCGGGUAAGUUCCGACCUGCACGAAUGGCAUAACGAUGGCCACACUGUCUCCUCCCGAGACUCAGUGAAGUUGAAAUGUUUGUGAUGAUGCAAUCUACCCGCGGCUAGACGGAAAGACCCCAUGAACCUUUACUGCAGCUUUGCAUUGAACUGUGAACCGAUUUGUGUAGGAUAGGUGGGAGGCAGAGAAGAGGCCACGCCAGUGGUCUUGGAGCCGACCUUGAAAUACCACCCUGAUUUGUUUGCGGUUCUAACCACGGACAGUGAUCCUGUCUUGGGACCGUGCAUGGUAGGCAGUUUGACUGGGGCGGUCUCCUCCUAAAGGGUAACGGAGGAGUACGAAGGUACGCUAGGUACGGUCGGAAAUCGUGCUGAUAGUGCAAUGGCAAAAGCGUGCUUGACUGCGAGAGCAACAACUCGAGCAGAUGCGAAAGCAGGUCAUAGUGAUCCGGUGGCUCUGAAUGGAAGGGCCAUCGCUCAACGGAUAAAAGGUACUCUGGGGAUAACAGGCUGAUACCGCCCAAGAGUUCAUAUCGACGGCGGUGUUUGGCACCUCGAUGUCGGCUCAUCUCAUCCUGGGGCUGUAGUCGGUCCCAAGGGUAUGGCUGUUCGCCAUUUAAAGAGGUACGUGAGCUGGGUUUAAAACGUCGUGAGACAGUUUGGUCCCUAUCUGCCGUGGGCGUUGGAAGAUUGACGGGGGCUGCUCCUAGUACGAGAGGACCGGAGUGGACGCACCUCUGGUGUACCGGUUGUCACGCCAGUGGCAUUGCCGGGUAGCUAAGUGCGGAAGAGAUAACCGCUGAAAGCAUCUAAGCGGGAAACUUGCCUGAAGAUGAGUCUUCCCGGAGGUUGAACCUCCCUCAAGAGUCGUCCGAGACCAGGACGUCGAUAGGUCAGGUGUGUAAGCGCUGUAAGGCGUUGAGCUAACUGAUACUAAUUGCUCGUGAGGCUUGAUCCU